RNAcentral lists this ribosomal RNA (519 nucleotides) under [Candida] sp. Its description in RNAcentral is "LSU rRNA". It matches the Rfam family "Eukaryotic large subunit ribosomal RNA", at positions 50 to 660 of the family's 3401-position model. The record is from RNAcentral. Lineage: Eukaryota; Fungi; Ascomycota; Saccharomycetes; Saccharomycetales.
GCGGAGGAAAAGAAACCAACAGGGAUUGCCUCAGUAACGGCGAGUGAAGCGGCAAAAGCUCAAAUUUGAAACCGUUCGCGGGUUGUAAUUUGUAGAGUGUCUUGUGACAUUGGCAUAAGUACCUUGGAACAGGUCGUCAUAGAGGGUGAGAAUCCCGUUGCCUACGUCGUUAUACUUGAUACUCCAAGAGUCGAGUUGUUUGGGAAUGCAGCUCUAAUUGGGUGGUAAAAUCCAUCUAAAGCUAAAUAUUGGCGAGAGACCGAUAGCGAACAAGUACAGUGAUGGAAAGAUGAAAAGAACUUUGAAAAGAGAGUGAAAAAGUACGUGAAAUUGUUGAAAGGGAAGGGUAUGCUGGGAGUCUUUGAGUUGUUGUUCAGCGGUUCUUCGGGGCCGUGUAUUCAGCCUCUCUUUGGAGCCACGGCGGUUUUUGUGCGGAUAAAGCUGUUUCCUUCGGGUUUCAUCAAUACGCAUAUUUGCCGUCCUGUCUCCGUAAUCCCAACAUACCACCCGUCUUGAACC